UGGGCUUGACAUACACCGGAUCGCUGCAGAGAUGUAGUUUCCCUUGUGGCUGGUGUACAGGUGGUGCAUGGUU
Molecule: ribosomal RNA, 73 nt
Filed under: uncultured Corynebacterium sp.
Lineage: Bacteria; Bacillati; Actinomycetota; Actinomycetes; Mycobacteriales; Corynebacteriaceae
Description: partial 16S ribosomal RNA
Source: RNAcentral